ACCCUGCAGAUUCCCUAACCCCUCAGACCCAAGUAUUUGUCUGCGUGGCAUAAAAAGGAGGAAAAGUCAAACAGAAGUGGGUUUAUACUUUUUAGUAACAUACAAGUUCAUUUCAAAAAGUU
This 122-nucleotide small nucleolar RNA is filed under the name Echinops telfairi (small Madagascar hedgehog). RNAcentral describes it as "Small nucleolar RNA SNORA61 (ENSETEG00000026788.1)". The record is from RNAcentral. Lineage: Eukaryota; Metazoa; Chordata; Mammalia; Afrosoricida; Tenrecidae.